This 468-nucleotide ribosomal RNA is filed under the name uncultured bacterium. RNAcentral's name for it is "partial 16S ribosomal RNA". It matches the Rfam family "Bacterial small subunit ribosomal RNA", at positions 28 to 507 of the family's 1533-position model. The record is from RNAcentral.
GACGAACGCUGGCGGCGUGCUUAACACAUGCAAGUCGAACGGAAAGGCCCUGCUUUUGUGGGGUGCUCGAGUGGCGAACGGGUGAGUAACACGUGAGUAACCUGCCCUUGACUUUGGGAUAACUUCAGGAAACUGGGGCUAAUACCGGAUAGGAGCUCCUGCUGCAUGGUGGGGGUUGGAAAGUUUCGGCGGUUGGGGAUGGACUCGCGGCUUAUCAGCUUGUUGGUGGGGUAGUGACUUACCAAGGCUUUGACGGGUAGCCGGCCUGAGAGGGUGACCGGCCACAUUGGGACUGAGAUACGGCCCAGACUCCUACGGGAGGCAGCAGUGGGGAAUAUUGCACAAUGGGCGGAAGCCUGAUGCAGCAACGCCGCGUGCGGGAUGACGGCCUUCGGGUUGUAAACCGCUUUCGCCUGUGACGAAGCGUGAGUGACGGUAAUGGGUAAAGAAGCACCGGCCAACUACGUG